RNAcentral lists this long non-coding RNA (408 nucleotides) under Manihot esculenta (cassava). RNAcentral describes it as "long non-coding RNA (MESC_LNC002754)". The record is from RNAcentral. Lineage: Eukaryota; Viridiplantae; Streptophyta; Magnoliopsida; Malpighiales; Euphorbiaceae.
GUGAUACAUUUCCCUUUGGUUAUAAAGGCUAUACGCCUAAGCUCGUAUAUAUGAAAUAAUGGAAAGAAAAUGAAAGAUGUUGAGUCAGCUGUUAAAAACCGAGCUCGGGGGAAAGACCUAAUGAGGUCAAAAUCUAUGAAAGAGUACAGCUUAAAAAUUUUUUACCCUUAAAGUAAAUCCAGCUCGGAAAAAGCCUGCAGAUAAGAAUACCCUUGUGAAAUUGGAAAGUUAUUAAGUCAGAGACUAAGUCUCUUGCUAAGUUUUAGCCCUGAUUAACUGAGGGGCAAGGAAUGAAAGGCGAUUUAGUCAAUUCCUUACAAAGUUUAUUAGGCACAGCUUAAGUGUUUUAUUCUCAAGUCUUUAAAAUUAAACAAGUUAGACUGUUUUAACAGAAUAAGUAGCCCGGUG